CGCAGGCCUAACACAUGCAAGUCGAACGGUAACAUAAUAAAAGCUUGCGUUUUAUUGAUGACGAGUGGCGGACGGGUGAGUAAUGCUUGGGAAUUUGCCUUGAGGUGGGGGACAACAGUUGGAAACGACUGCUAAUACCGCAUAAUAGCUACGGCUCAAAGGGGGCUACGGCUCUCGCCUUUAGAGAAGCCCAAGUGGGAUUAGAUAGUUGGUGGGGUAAUGGCCUACCAAGUCAACGAUCUCUAGCUGGUCUGAGAGGAUGAUCAGCCACACUGGAACUGAGACACGGUCCAGACUCCUACGGGAGGCAGCAGUGGGGAAUAUUGCACAAUGGGCGCAAGCCUGAUGCAGCCAUGCCGCGUGUGUGAAGAAGGCCUUCGGGUUGUAAAGCACUUUCAGCGAGGAGGAAGGGUUGUUGGUUAAUACCCAGCAGCUUUGACGUUACUCGCAGAAGAAGCACCGGCUAACUCCGUG
This 474-nucleotide ribosomal RNA is filed under the name uncultured bacterium. RNAcentral describes it as "bacterial SSU rRNA". It matches the Rfam family "Bacterial small subunit ribosomal RNA", at positions 41 to 507 of the family's 1533-position model. The record is from RNAcentral.